Molecule: long non-coding RNA, 621 nt
Organism: Crotalus tigris (Tiger rattlesnake)
Lineage: Eukaryota; Metazoa; Chordata; Lepidosauria; Squamata; Viperidae
Exons: 3
Source: RefSeq, a predicted model, not a curated record
UGAUUACUGGCAUCUGGUGGAUUGAACAAAUGCAGAAAACAUGCCCCAAUAGAAAAAGAAUGUUGUUUUUUAUCACCUUUUUCUUCAGAUUUUCCCUCUUCCUACACAUUCACAGACUUAUGAGCAAAUCUGUAAGGCAGACGAAACAGGGAGAAUGUCGCUGGCCCAUAGUCAUCCAUUGAACUUUGUGGCUGAACAUCAACUUGAAUCUGGAUCUUCCUGAAGAAAAUCGAUGUCAGAUAGACUCUCUUCAGAACCAGCCAUUGGAGAUUCCCUUGUGUAAGAUAGCCAAAGCUUGAGAAAGAUAAAUUCUGCAUUUGUCUAUCUGGGUCUUAUUUUUAUUGCCACCAGCAUGUCAUUUCUUAUUUUCUCAGAAGGAGGGAGCCCUGACUGAGUGGGCAAUAGCCAUCUACUGAGAGAUGGGGUCAAGACAAUGCUUGUGUUACAUCAUUUUAGUCCUCAGUAGACAAUUGACCUACAAUGGAACCCUUGUUUGGGAUCCUCUCUUCCUUGAGAUUUAUUUUUCUUCUAAAGUUGGCCUGUGUUUCCUGACCGCUUAGUCUCAAAUGCCACUGAUACUGUACCCCUGAGCUACUUUUCUCCUGAAUGGCUUUAUAGCAA